GGGGGUAUGGCGAAAUGGUAGACGCUACGGACUUAAAAUCCGUUGGUUUUUUAGAACUGUGAGGGUUCAAAUCCCUCUACCCCCA
RNAcentral lists this transfer RNA (85 nucleotides) under Equisetum scirpoides. RNAcentral describes it as "tRNA-Leu". It matches the Rfam family "tRNA". Rfam says of the family: Transfer RNA (tRNA) molecules are approximately 80 nucleotides in length. RNAcentral also lists the same sequence under 6 other names. The record is from RNAcentral. Lineage: Eukaryota; Viridiplantae; Streptophyta; Polypodiopsida; Equisetales; Equisetaceae.